Podarcis lilfordi (Lilford's wall lizard) is the source of this 41126-nucleotide non-coding RNA. The record is from the annotation of a GenBank genome assembly. Lineage: Eukaryota; Metazoa; Chordata; Lepidosauria; Squamata; Lacertidae.
GCCCCUCUCACUCCCACCAAACAGACAGCUGUCACAUUCAUUGGCUGAUGCCGACCUUGAAAACCCUAAAUGACAUUGGCCCUGUAUAUUUAAAGAAGCGUCUCCACACCCAUCGUCCAGACCAGAUACUUAGGACCAGCUCCAAGGGCCUUCUGGUGGUUCCCUCAAGCAUUAAUACACUCAAGUGAGAUUCCGUUUUUCAGCUGCUGUUUUUAAUACUAGAAGCAGAAUUUCAAGUUACACUAAGUUACUAUGUAGGCUUAGGUUAUGAACUCAGGAAGAAAGGAAGUUGGGUCAUGUCAAAGUACAAACUGGAUAUGGUAGAGAAAGAUAAUUAUGUAUGAAGAGGGAGGCUGCACUUCGUGUAUCUCUACAGGUAGGGUUAUUCCUAAAAGUUGUAUGUCCAGAAACACUCCAGGGAUGUGAUUCAAUGAUUCCCUUUCAUCAUUAAAGAUGAAUGAAAAAUGAAGAGCAAACUUUAUCUAAGGAGAUAAAUUCAUUCCCAAGGCAGCUCUGUGUGUUUCAUUACUACUAUGGUGGAAUACAGUUAAGAAUCAGGCAACAACUUUAGUUUUUGUGGCCAGGUGUUCCUUUGUGUUCAGAUCAGGCCUCAGAACAAGAAUGUAGCAUUUGGGAAUGAAGAUGCAGCCCAGAAGCCCAGCACUGGAAGCCAAGAUAGAGAAGAUCUGCACGGCUACCAUGUAUUUCCCCUUUGUGCUCAGGUAGGUGGGCACAAAGGAGACCCAAACGCUGCAGAAGACCAGCAUGCUGAAGGUGAUCAGCUUGGCUUCAUUGAAGGCCCCAGGCAGCUUCCUAGCUAAGAAAGCCACUGUGAAGCAGAUGGCAGCCAGGAAGCCCAUGUAACCCAGGGCAGCAUAAAACAUGGCAAUAGACCCUUCAUUGCAUUGCAGGGUGAUCUCUCCAGCCUGGGAAUGCUUGUCAGAGUCUGGGAAUGGGGGAGAGAUGCCCAGCCAAAUGAUGCAAAGGACCAUUUGGACACUGGAGCAGGAAAUGACAAUGGAGUUGGCCAGACUUUUCCCUAACCAUCUCCUCACCCUGUUCCCUGGCUUUGUGGCCAGGAAGGCCAGCACCACCAUGAUGGUUUUGGACAGCAAAGAGGACACAGCUACCGAGAAGAUGGUGCUGAAGGCCGUUUGUCGAAGGAGGCAGGUGACUUUCCUGGGACGGCCAAUGAAGAGGAAGGAAGACAAGAAGGACAGCAGGAGGGAGACAAGGAGGAUGAAGGAGAGGUCCCUGUUGUUGGCUUUGACUAUGGGAGUUUCCUUGUAUUUAAUGAAGAUCCCUACAGCAAAGCCUGUGCUUAAGGACAGGAAGAGAGCCAAAGACGUCAGGAUAAUCCCCAAAUAUUCUUUAUAUGAUAGGAAGGUGAUAAUCCUCGGAAUGCAGUGAUCUCGGUCCUUGUUUGGAUAUUGUUCUUCUGGACAUUUGGUGCAACGCUCUGCAUCUGAGGAGGAGAAAAGGAAUGGCUUUGGCUUUGCUUACAGACAUAUUCUAUUACAUGUCGAGAAAUGCACUCAUAUGGGAGAUAUCAGAAAACGAGAAUGUAUUGUUAAAAAGGAAAGCUUCUUCGGUGCAUUUCCUUAUGGGAUAGUUUUUGGGCAGUAACACUACUUCAUUUCCAUAUUUCAUUUCACUUUUAAUUUGUAUACUGCCUUUCUAUAUUGCUAUGCAGAAGGAAGGUUACAAGCUGAAGAAACAACAAAUUAGACAGCAAAGAUCACAGGCGUAAUACACACAAACAAAAAGUCAUAAUAAAAGCAUAACUUUAAAAUAAACAACAUAUCAAAUUAAGCAAAAUUCAAUACUAUUCAGUAAUAAUACUAAGGAAUAGUAAACACUAAAAUUUAAUAAAGUGUCCACAAAUAAUAAACAGCUAUCACUUAUCAUGUACAAUAAAGAAUUACUAAUCUAUAAUCAAUAAAAAACAGUAAGUCACAAUGAAUAAAAUACCACAAAACAUGCAAACCAUGUAAAAGGGUCAAACUGAGAAACAAGGACACACAACUUAUGAUUUAUUUAUUUUUAAUUUCUUGAUCUCCUCUCUUCCAAGCUGCUACAGCUGUUCUCAAACUCCUUGUCUGGGAUAUCCAAUAACUUCCUGCUGAAAUUCCAUAAUUUUUUAUUGUUCUACAAUGCAAUGGAAUGGAAUGUUCACCUAAUUUUUUUGAUUAUUGUGCAUCAUGGUUUCUCUCUUUAAAUAAAUAUUUGCUAUUUUCACUAUUUCUCGUUUAUUUUGAAGACAUUUUUAAUUUCCUUUUGUGAGGGUGGUUCUGGUUCUCUGAUCCUAGAAGGCUUGGUAUAAAAUAGCCAAAGCUGUGCCUUAUGGGCAGGGCAGGCUGAACCCAACUGGCAUCCCACAGUUCGCUUCCUGCAAGUCAUUUCUUUCAAAUUACUUCCUGGAAGGGGAUUAAAAAUGCAUCCAAAUAUGUCUUUAGAAUCUUCACAGAAAGUUUCCGACUGAUAUGUUGCCCUAUUCAUAUUCUCCCAACAAAUUGUGCCUUAUGGGCAGGGCAGGCUGAACCCAAUUUGCAUCCCAGAGAUUGCUUCCUGUGAGUCAUUUCUUUCAAAUUACUUCCUGGGAGGGGAUUAAAAAUCAAGAAAGGAUCUGCAUCCAAAUAUGUCUUUAGAAUCUUCCCAGAAUGUGUCUGACUAAUAUGUUGCCCUAUUCAUAUUCUCCCAACAAAUUCCAUCUCCUGUGGCGUCACCCACCUUCCUGUGUAGAUACGGUCCCUUCCCCACACGGAACACAAGCGUAGCAGCAAACCGGCUUGUCUUCUUGAACCACCUUGGCAUAUCCUGGGCGACACCUUUUGGUACACCUGGCGUGAGGAACAGUCUAGCCAUAAAGAAAAGAUGGCACAUUAAAGGGGAAGUGUCAGCAAUAUUUGUGCAUAUGGAACUCACUCAGAGAGUCUGGAAAGAACCCAGCAGGGUCUCCAGUCCCACAAGAAAGCACCCUUGAAGUCACUCAGCAUGGGGGCCCGCUAGGGGCGCCUUGGAAGAUGGCCGACAAUACCAUCUAUCCGGCUCGCACGAGAUAAUUAGAGGCUGAUUAUGGGGAGUAUAUCAGUCUCCCUGAUCUUCCCAGGGGGUGGGAAGAUGCUGUCUCGCCCGUGGUUGUCCAUAAAUCACCCCCGAGUUUGAAAAAAGGAGGGGUGGGGGCACUGAGCGGAAAGCACUUGUGCGAGUUCUGGAGCUCCCGGACGCUACUUUCAGGAGCGAAACUAGCUGCGUUGCUUAAGAUUAAAAAAAAAAAUUGGAGAAGUAAAUGCACAUGUUUCGAGCGAGGUCAGGCAUGUAUUAUCUGCUAAAUAAAUUUACCACGGAGAAGACAGAGCGAUGGGACGGAAUGAACAAAGGACUACAUCAAAGAAGCACAGCCAUGCCGGUAUGUUGAACGGAACGGAAAGGGGGGAACUUUCUUUUUUUUUUAGUAUGAUUUACCUAACAACCCCCUCCCCCCUUAGAAGAACCGCCGCAAUGAUUGAUUGCAAGUGAGAAUGAAAAAUAGACUGUGUGGAAACAAAAAUGCUAAUAAAAGGAUUUACUCUGUGAAAGAUCUGGAAAGAAGGGAGGCUUUCUUGUGGCGUAGUUACAAAGUGAUCCGCCAUUAAGAGGCAGACCUUGAUGCAAGAUUUUCAGUUUUAGGGAGGGCAAGCCACUGUUCUGCUAUCAGGUUUGGAUCGUAAAUUUGAAAGGGCAAUAACCCUUCUGGAAAGACUGAUUUAUGGUGCAGAAGGUCUGGGAAAAUUAAGGAGCGGACGCCGAGACUGUAUUUCAUCGGAAUUGACUAAAAUGGCGACUGCCGCCUGAAUAAGACUCUUGGACUCUUGGAUUUAUGUGAGAUGAAUUACGGGAAAGCAUUACAAAGUUCACACAGAAAUAUAACAAGGCUGUUUCUUUCAACUCACUGGUGGAGAAAAUUCAGAGGUUAUUAAGAAGAAAAAGGAUAAUGACAAGGAGAUGAGAAGAUGGGACUGUGAACAUCAAAGCAGAAGAAAUAUAAAGAUGAUUGGACUCCUACCAAACUCAAAGCAUGGGUACCCCCCACAAAAAAUUUAAAAUUUAGUUUAAUAUUUGGACUUAGUGAUAUGUGUUGAUAUAAUUUGGAAUAAAUAAUAUGAUAUGAUAUGAUUGGUUUGGUAAAUGGAAAUUUAAUAAAAAAUAUAUAUAUAUAAAAACACCCUUGAUGUCAGGGGUGCCAACUUGAAUAAAAUAUUGUGGGGGCCCAGGUAAGCCGCACAACACAUAAUCGAUGCCCAUCAACUUUAUGGGGUCCCAGCUCCCUCAAAUAUUUUAUUGUGGGGCCAAAGCCCCCAAAGUUCCUAGGAAUUGGCUCCUAUGCUUGAUGUAGAACGGAAACCCCCCUACAGUGUUUACUUUUGUAACAAUAAUAAUUUAUUUAUACCCCACCCAUCUGGCUGGGUUUCCCCAGCUGUGCUGGGCGGCUUCCAACAAAAGAUUAGAAAAACAUCAAUCAUUAAUAUCUUCCCUAAACAGGGCUGCCUUCAGAUGUCUUCUAAAAGUCAGGUAGUUGUUUAUUUCCUUAACAUCGGAUGGGAGGGCGUUCCACGGGGCAGGCACCACUACUGAGAAGGCCCUCUGCCUUGUUCCCUGUAACCUCACUUCUUGCAGGGAGGGAACAACCAGAAGGCCCUCAGAGUUGGACCUGAACAAUGGGGGUGGAGACGCUCGUUCAGAUAUAAUGGGCUGAGGCCGUUUAGGGCUUUGAAGGUCAGCACCAACACUUUGAAUUGUGCUUGGAAACGUACUGAAAAAGGUAUCAGUACAUAGGUCUUUGAACAACUGGAAUGAAGCACAGUAUAAUAUUAAUAAAUAAAUUAAAAAAUUACAUGCAUACAAACAUACAUACAUACAUGUGUGUAUGUAUCUGCACAUGAAGAGCAUUAUACACAUUUAAUAAUUUACUUAAUUAAUUAUAAUGAAAGCAUCAGCCAAACUUCCAAAAGAUUAUACUUGAAUUCCUCUUGGAAAUAUUCAACAGAUUACUAGAUCUUCAUGUGUAUCAUGUGGAAUAAAGGGGCUCUUACCUGGUUGAACCACUUGGGCCACACAAUAGCUUCUGGGUUAAUGGCGAGCUUGAAGUCAGUGGAUGCCUCUCUCUCUAUACUCCCAAUUUUCACUCUAACACAAGACUCAUUGGGAAGCACCACCCAAUUCUCAAUAUCAAACAUGAUUGGCAGCUCCCCAUUCUCACCCAAAUACAGUCCGCCCAUGGAAGUGUUCAACAACCGGGUUUCUCUUAAGAAAGGGUGAAGCUGGAAUGACAGGGAAAACACGAGCAUUUCAAAGCAUUUUGGACAUCUCAUCCCUUCUCCCUUUGAACUCCAAAGUCCUGGCAUACCUGGCCUCGUUGGAAUCUACAGAGGACUAAACACCAGAUCUUAGAAAGCAUUUUAGAUGCCUCAUCCCUGCUUCCUUGGAACUCAAAACUCCUGUCGUGCCACAACUUCUCCUACUGGCAAAACUAAACAGACACCCUCCAGGUGGAAUGAUGUCUGUUUUUACAUGUUUGGCUUCUUUUAGUUUUAUUAUAUGAUCUUAUGUUUUUUAUUGCAGUAGACCACCUUGAUAUUUUAUGAAAUACACAUUGUAUAUAUAUUUUCCAGCAGGAGCCUAAAAAAAUAAUCUAAAUCUAAAUAAAUAAAACAAAAACCUUUUCCUCACUGUUGCAUUCGUGCCUAAAUCAAUGAGAAUGAUUAUUGUAGAGUUGGUGGAAAGAACUUUGAUUUCUAGAAAUGGAAAGGAAAUACCUGCCAUGCCUGUAGCCUUUGACAUGGCAACUGGUCUCCUCCACCCACCAUCAACAUCUGCUUUGAUCUGGAUGAACAGGCAACAUUUAAAGCAUGUGCCAUGAUUUGGACACUGAAGUAUGUUCUGUGGCUGUCUUGAGACAGAACACUCUGCAGCUCCUCUUCAGACGGCACCUCCGGAUUCUCCACAUCUCUGCAUCUUGUCCAACCUCUCACAGCGAGGACGUGCUUUGAGUAUAAACAACUAAAUGCUUUUUGCAGCAAAAGAUAGGACUCUGAUUUACGUUUGCUCCUUAUUUUGGUCUUCAUUACAAAGGAGAAUGAACCAUGGAUAUACUUCAAGUACUUGGGACCGAAAAACAAAUUUAUGUCAAGGUCUUGAAAAGCUGUUGUGAGCCAUACUUUUGGCCCAAUUUGUUUCUCAUGUUCUUCUUGCAGUUGCAUGAUGACACGCAGUGCUGUAUGAACGUUUACAUAGUAAAGGAAUACAUUGGUCUGUCUCCGUAGGGUAAUUAAUUUACUUUGUGUCAGUAUCUUAGGUUCAUUCUUUUCUGGUAUUGUUAAUGAAAAGGCAACACAAAUUCCAUUGCUGGCCAUCAGAGAUGUCAUGGCACUCAAGAACCUUUCUCCAUUCUCACUGUCCGGAGCAAAGAGGCCGAUCCACGUCCAUCCGAAAUGCUGGAGGAACUUUACAAUCGCCAGAUACUGAACUUCUUCAUUGGGGACCGUACGGUAGACAAAAGGGACUUCAGUGUUCUCAUCAACAACCCCAGAUACAAAGCCAUAACUGAUCUGGAAGAAAACUAGAGUGUUUUAUUUUCAGAGGAAAGUACAGGAAUAGCCUGAAAUAUUUAAUACCUAACAAAUAUUGUGCUGACUGGGGCUGAUAGUUUUAUUUGGAAACUUCGGGAGGCUGCAACCCUAACAAAGUCUCCGUUUUAAUAAUAAUUAUUAUUUAUUAUUUAUACCCCGCCCAUCUGGCUGCAUUUCCCCAGCCACUCUGGGCGGCUUCCAACAGAACACUAAAAUACAAUAACCUAUUAAACAUUAAAAGCUUCCCUAGCAGGGAAGAAUCAUAGAAUUGUAGAGUUGGAAGUGACCCUGAGGUUCAUCUUGUCCUGCAACCUUGAUGUUGGCAGCACCACACUCUAACCAACUGAGCUAUCUAGCUUAACAUAGCUCAGGAUUUUCUCCCUCUUUGAUGCCUCUUUUUGACUCUGCUGACGAUAAUGAGAAUUUAUUUUGCUGCUGAACCUGUUUUGUGUUCCUCCAUGCCCCAUCCUUCAUACCUGUGGGAUUUUGUACAUGCCUGACGUGGUUGAAAUCACUUUGGAGAUGAUGGAAUUGGCUCCUUCAAGAACAGCCAAGAUAUUAUUCCAUUUUCCACAGCGAUAGUUUGGAAUAUUGCUUUCCCCACCUGCAAGCAGGUCUAGCAUGGCAUCAGAAGUGAUCCUUGCAUUGUAAUAGUUCUCAUAGAGGCUGUAGCCCAGAGUGAUGUUGGGUAAGAGCCUGGGAUCCUGGUUGAUCUCUUGGAUGGUGAACAAGAACGACAAGAUAUGCCAGUAGAACCUAUAUGGCAAUCUGUAAGAAAUCAAUCAAAUAAAAAUGUCAAACCAUUCACCACUUGUUGAAAAUAAAUAGUAUUUGAUUCCCUAAAUAAUGGACUGCAUUAGGGCUGCCAUACAGGCAUAGCAGGAAGAUAACAGUUGGAAACAGUGUGCGGGUGGAAAUCACUGGAAUUUCCUUUAAAAUAACUCAGAAACUUUGCCAAUAAAUCUUUUUGUCUAGAUUUUCACUUGUCACUAUAUGGGGACCCUAGUCUGUAUGUUUGUUUGAAGGGUGAGAAGAGACAUAUCCUUCUUACAAGAUGAAAAUCCAUUUGCCACUUAAGAACUAAAAUAUAAGGAUUUCUCAAGAGGAGAAGCACACAUCUUCAAAGAAGGAAAAUGAAGAAAACAUUAUUCUUUCCGAAUGUGUGAGAAAUAUGGGGACAUGGCUGCUAAGGCUAGUAUUGGCUGCUUCAAAGGAGUUGCAUAAAGAGCCAACUGCAAUGGAGAGCUAAGUCUGUUUAGAAGCUCUAUUUGAUUAGUAUGGCUUAUUUUCAAUAGGCAAGAUUAGGAUUGGGCUGUUCUUUAAUAAAGGCCAGUUCCAACCAGUCUUCCAAUGAAACAAACCAUCAGAAGGAUGUAUUUCCUUCCGUCUCUCCUGUGCAAGUGAAUUCAGGUGUCUGGCACAGCAGUGAGGGGGAAAUCUUAGGAAUGGGGAUUGCUGCUGGGGGAGGGGGCAGAGAAAAAAGUCCCUGGAGCCAAAUUAAUUCCCAAGAAGCACUGAACUUGGCUAAGCUUGCAAUUGCGUGUCUUAUUCUGCAUCAAAGGGGGCUUCUAGUGUAGUUCCAGUUUGAGAUAAUGUCCACUUAAACUAGCAUUUCAUCCAGAAUGAUAGUUUCCUUGUCAUUCAUAUUUCUCCCUGUGGGAACUGUUCAAUCUCAAUGCAAUGGCAGUCGCAGACACUACUGGUAAUUCUGCUGAUAUCUUCUGGGAGGUUAUUUCAGACAGGGGAAGGGAUGGAAUCAAAUGCCCUCCCAAAUGUCAGCAUAAAAGACCUCUGUUUUGUCUGUUUAAAUAUGUUUUCUUUUGGUUUUCAACAGUAACACUAUAAACUUAACAUGAACAGCAAACAGAACACUCAGAGUAUAUAUUAUUGGAAGUAACCUUAAGGUACAUAAUAGGCUCACUGGUUAAUUAGUCCUCUCCAUAGAGAUACAUGUGUUAUAGGGGGUUGCAAUAACUGUGCUGGCUUCUUAAUGUGGUCUGUAAAGAACAACCACAUGCUUAAAAAUUCGGCUUUAUUUACGUGUCCAUUAAAAACUCUGCCGCAUUGGGUCAAAUGUUCAGAAAGUGCUAUUUCCCAUACACCUGCAUACCAGGAACACAAAGUAGGAUUUUCUCCAGUGUCCCACUCAUCUCAUGAAUGCAGGUGUGGUCAUUCAGUGAAUCAUUUUGAUGCCUGAUCAGGUUCAUUUAUACACUUGUGUUCUUCAGCAAGCAACACAGCAGCACAGAAGGUAAAAAUAGAGCACGUCUGGGAAGAUGCAACCCACUAGCUGGUGAGAAACUCAAGUUCCCUUCAGCCCCUGCCAGCAUAGCCAGUGAUCAGGGGUGAUGGGAGCUGUAGUCCCACAACGUCUGGAAGACCACAGAGUCCUCACCACUAAAAUGGAGACUAUUUCCCUAGUAAACAGGAGCCAUUGGGGUGCAGUAGAAAAACGUGACGUCCUUCUGCAUAUAAUUACUUACUCAUCCUUAAACCUGGUUAAUGGGGGCUGCGAAAAGAUGUAUGGAUGUUGUAGAGCAAUCAAAGUUGGAGAUAUUAUCCCGCCAAUGAGGAAGUCGCCAGUCUGGAAAUAAUUCUGUGCUUUGAUUCCUUCCCGGAUUGGAUUCAAGGGGCAUUUUGCUUUCAGGUUUCCGCAGGAUUCAAGCAAAAUGAGCAGCAUCAGCAUAUGGGAUCUCAUUCUGACUGACUGCUACACCUCUCUUGUGAGUGUUCCUCUCUCCCCCAUAGCCAGCUACAUCAGAACAAGCCAAAAAACUCUUAUUUAUCCAAUAUGGGUAGUGCUCAGCUAUAGCUUCAGAGCCAUUAAACCUCACACAGAUGUAUCCCACCCCUCUUACUCUCAAUCAUGACUCAGUCUGUCUCUGACACAGGUGAUCUUUUGUGCAUCAACUUUUCCCUCAGGAACAAGGCAGAAUAAAUCACUAUGAUGUUGAUAAUUAUAAGGGGAAGGAAGUUCAUCUUUGCAACAACCUGAAGUCUCUGUGUGGCCUGAGGGGCAGGAGCAGAGUUGGAGAUAAACAUGUUUGGGAGGAAACAAAGUUGCUGCUCCAAAGUUUGACAUGGGUCACGUGGUGAGUGACAGUUUGGCAUGAACUUUGCUGCUGACAAGAGCAUUACAAGAGUCCUGCUGCUGGUUCAGUUCAAAGCUUAAUCCAAUGCAGUAUCUUGUUGCACCCAGUGGCCAAUCAGACAUUUCUGGGAUCCACCCAAGCUGAUGGCAAUAGAGUUGAUCCCAGCAACUGACAUUCAGAGAUAUGCAGCCUCUGAUUCUGGAAGUGAUGUGUCUUUUAAAAGUGUCUCAGUUAGCAGCUGAAACAAAAUUUUAAAAAAUCCUUCCAGUAGCACCUUAGAGACCAACUAAGUUUGUUAUUGGGCCGACUCUGGGGUUGCGGCGCUCAUCUAGCCUUAUUGGCCAAGGGAGCCGGCGUACAGCUUCCGGGUCAUGUGGCCAGCAUGACUAGGCCGCUUCUGGCGAACCAGAGCAGUGCAUGGAAAUGCCAUUUACCUUCCCGCUGGAGCACUACCUAUUUACCUACUUGCACUUUGACGUGCUUUCGAACUGCUAGGUUGGCAGAAGCAGGGACCGAGCAACGGGAGCUCACCCCGUCGUGGGGAUUCGAACCGCCGACCUUCUGAUCAUACAUGUCCUAGGCCCUGUGGUUUAACCCACAGCGCCACCCGUGUCCCGUGCAUGCGUACUUCUUCACUAUUUCCUGUGUCAGUGAAUUUCUCCAUUGGGCUACAGUAUCCAAAAAAUUGCUUCCUAUUUUAUAUAUAGAUUCUCCAAGUGGAUUCUUCCAUGGAUGCCUCUUUGAGGGGCUUAGAGGAUUCACAAAGAUUCCAGGGGAUUCCUCAAGGACACAAUUUGCGGAAUGCUUUCCGGGGAGGUUUGGCUGGUACCUUCAUUGUACACCUUUAGGUGCCAAGCGAAACGUUCCUUUUUAACCAGGCCUUUCGCUGAUUGACAUCCAAUGCCCUUUUAAAUGUUUUCUGGUGGAGGCAUUAUUGGUUUGUUUAUGUUCUUUUUUUAUGUAUUUUGCCUUUUUUACAUUGUCUUUUUAUGUUGUGAACCACCCUGACAUCUAUGGCCAAUUGGUGCUAUUAUUAAUAACAAUAAUAAUAAUAAUAAUAAUAAUAAUAAUAAUAAUAAUUAAUCAAACUGAGGUGUCUGGCUUAGCUCAUUUCUGACUACCUAAUAUCACUUAGUCAUGUCCUUCCAUUUCAGUUGACAACGUCUUAAGAGGCUUAGGAAAUUCAUCUAUGAGUAAUAUGCAGUCUAACUCAAGAUCAAAGAGCGUGGUACAGGAAUGAUUUCAAGCAACAGUGGGCAACUCCACAAUUGCUAUUAGUGAAGAAUCGGGAAUCAGAAGCUUUAAGAGGUCUACUGUCAAUUAUCUAUCUCCUCCGCAUCACAAGUGAGCUAAGGGAACUUUGACAACGAUGCUUUUCCUCACCAUACACAUGGUUAGCUGGAAUUGCAGUGAGAGGAAACUGCUUGCCUAUGCAGUGGGGGGUGGGGUUAUUGGGGCAUUGUUUUUUGAUUAUGUAAUUUGUGGUUUCAUAGUUAUACUUUGAUUUUCUUCUGUGAACCGCCCUGAGACCUCCGGUAUAGGGUGGUAUAUAAAUUGAGUAAAUAAUGAUAAUAAUAAUAUUUGUGGAGUUUACAGCAGCCCUCAGGAAAAUACUAUCUGGGAUCCAGAUUAUUUUUUAAUUCCAACAACAACCUGUGGUUCCACUCAAGAUUCAGAGGGGUGGGGACAUUCAACUCUACAAUUCUACAACUGUACAAAGGCCUCCGUUUAUACCGUCCUGAUCUUGCUCUUUGGCCAAACUCCCACUGUAGCUUACAAAUCAUUCCUAAAACUGCCUAUGACUUCAAGUUUAUAAUUUUAAAAGACAUGGAUAAUAACAAUAAAAGUAGCACAGCAUUCUAAAAUCGAUUCAUUUUAAAAUCAAUUCAAAUCAGAUUAAUGGCAACCACUGGGCUAGAGUUUUGUGAUGAUUACGAAAGGAGGGGGUCAGACUGUGCCUUGGCCAAAGGCCAGGCGGAACAGCUCUGUCUUGCAGUCCCUGCGGAAAGAUGUCAAGUCCCAAAGGGCCCUAGUCUCUUGUGACAGGGUGUUCUACCAGAUCGGGGCCACAGCCAAAAAAGCCCUGGCUCUGGUUGAGGCCAGUCUAACCUCCCUGUGGCCCAGGACCUCCAAGAUGUUUUUAUUUGAAGACCGUAAGGAGCAAAAGGAAAAGAGAUUAGACUUCCGGGGUGGCGCCUCCGGAAAAUGGCGGAAUUCCCUUCGGACUGAAGGGAACCCGCUGCACGGAGGCUUGGGUCCUGCCGCUACGGCGCAGCGGGGACCCGCAAAAACCACAGGCGGAAGAAGCCUGUGGACGUGGGACUCGGCGGGCACCGAGAGCGCUCUCUCCCCUUGUACAGGAGCCCGGUAACGGGCUCCGGAGUGGGAGGUGCGUGGUGCUGUGAGUCGUCUGCUUCCUCCGUGCAGCAAAGCCGCACUGCCGUUAUCGGAGAGCGCUGCCUUUUCCUGGACAAUUUGGCAUCUAAAAUAUCUAUCCGUGAGUACCUGAUCUUGGAAGAGUUGAACCACUUUUAAGACUGGUGAAUAAACAAAUAAUAUUGGACUUGAAAUUGAACUUAAUUGGGACUCGGAAUGGGAAGGUCUAAACAGGAAGUCGCCUUCCGUUCUUUUGUUAUGUGAAGAAAGCAAAGACAAAAUAUACUAAAGCUUGAAAAUUAAAUUCUAAGAGAACUAGAAUUCAACAUCUAAGAUUUCUGAACCCCCUUUGACUGCAGGAGAAGAAGGGGGUUGUAUUUGGACUUUUCAAUCCUGCGGAAGUGAGUUUAAAAUAAAGCAAUUUUCCACCGCCCUGAACCAGGAGCGGGCUGUCAGAAUUGACGUUCUGAAGUUUAUCCAGCUCGACAGUUAGUUAAAAGAAGGGUAACAUUUUGAUUCUACUGUUGCCUCUUGAAUUUGGAAGGGGAAUUUUGGAUAAAGUGUUUCUGGAAAAAGAAAGAUUGUUGCUGUUGCUUUUAUUCCUUUUAAAAAAAAAAAAAUUCCAUAUAGUGGAAUUUAGUGAAAUUUCCACGCAGAGAGAUUAAAAGAGAAGGACUAUUGGACUAUUCUCGUGGGAAAGAAUUUUCUUUGACCUUGAAGGACAAUGCUAGUACAAAGGCUUGAACAAUUGUUCCUGGAAGGUUUUUCAAAACUAAGUGCCCAGCUGGACCAGAUGCGUCAGGAGACGACCUUGAUGAUGGAAGUUACCAGAGCACAGCAGCAAAUAAAUGAAAUUCAGUUAAAGGCUAUACAAGCAUAUGAACCUGCUGUAGUGACGGAGGCUUCAGAGAUGGAGGGACCUUUGGACGGGCAAGAUCAGCCUUUGAACUUGAUAAAUGAACUUGGGACAAACCAGAUUCGGAAAGAUGAAAUGUGGUCAGAUUUGGAAAUGGGGGAUGGAUCGACCCCCUCCAUAUGGUUAUUUGGACCUUCCGAGUCUGGUGAUGGGCUAUCAGAGGAUUGGAGUAGCCGAAGUCUCCAAGCUUUGUGGAAAUUUGAAGUGGUAUUAUUUGCUGUCUGGCUUGGGCAAUGGGUUUGGGAUGGACUUGCUGCAAAGGGUCAAAAGCAUUUUCUUGCUGGAGCAUCCACGACUGGAAAGGAAUCAUCAACAAGAGUGGCGAAAGGGGCAAGAAAGAGACUUGAGGGCCUCGGAUACGAGACAACCAGGUUAAGGAGCCGGAUUAUCGAGGUUAAAAGGACUGACAAUCCCGGGUCCAGGGGAGGGGAGGUUGGAAGCUGACUGGACUGAAUUUGACUUAUUAUUUUUUCUUUUUUAUUUUUAAUAUUGGGAAUGCUUACAAAUGUUUGAAGGAUGUUGAAUGAAAUUACAUGGCUUAAGUAAGGAUUGGUAAAUGAUUCGUAAAAGGUAAUGAUGCAAGAAUUUGGUAAAUAUUGAAUAUAAGCUAUGAGUUUUAAAGUUUUUAUAUGACAAGAGGGAAAAUAGAAUAAGGAAACGUAAUGACAGAUUGUUAUGAAAAAACAGAAAGGAUUUGCUGUAAAAAUUAAAAAUUAAGAAACAAAAGAGGGGAGGAGGAGGAAGUCUAGAAAGGAAGUCAAUAGAGAUUGUAAAGGACUUUAUAUUUUUGUUUUUCUGUUUCUCUUUUUUUUUUUCUUCUUUGCGGCUGGGUUUUCUUUUCUUUUUUGUUUAUGUACUAUUUUUGUUUUUUGUAUCCUUAAUUUUUUUUUUUGGAAAUUUUUGUUGUUAUUUUUUGAAAAUUCAAUAAAUAUCAAUUAUAAAAAAAAAAGAGAGAGAUUAGAAACUCCCCUCAGCCUCGGCCUCCACAAACAGUGAUCAGGAUGUUACGAGCCAGAGCCCAGCAGCACCACUGUCUCCCUAUGCCUGAAAUAAGAACUAUUUCCCGGUUAAAGGGAACCAUUGAAGUGGUGAUGGAGAAGCAUGAUAUCCAUGAUGUAUUUAAUUAUUUACACUUUAAGCUUGGUUACUGGGGGCUGGGAAAAAUUCUAUGGAAGUUGCUCAGCAAAGCUUCUUGGAGAUAUGAUUCCGCUAAUGAGGAAAUAUCCAGGCCAUGAGUAACUCUGCGCUUCAUUUUCUUCCCUCGUCAAAUUUAAGGAGCACUUUGCUUUCAGCUUCCCACAGACUUGUCAUGUGACAAAGACACAUGAGAGCAGAGGCAGCAAAGCAGGCUGGGAAGUGCUGGGACUGCACAGUCAUUUGGGCCUACUAAAGUUAUUCAGGCCUAACUGCUAACUGUUGAGUCACUCUGACAUGUGACAAAGUAGCCAGUUUCUCCUUUGUGCUCUCUGUAAGAAAUCAGAGUCUGUCUGCUUCAGUUGUGAGCAGAGUCAGUAUGUAAUCUCAGUCAAACUGUUUGGAAACAUGUUGUUUAUGAAGAAGUUUAUUUUAACUUAGUAAAGCUUUUAUUCUUUAAAACUCUGCAUUAUUCAUUUACGCUGCGCGUCAAGACUUGAUGGUCCAUUAGAAGCAGAGGCAGCAGCAGAAGCCGCAGCAGGGAGGUCAUUCUGGCUUGGCCUCCUACACCUCCAUUUUGACUUCUCCUUUCUCCCCCACAGCCAGGUAAUCAGAAGUCAACACCCUCCAGCACAGUGUGACACGUAUAACCUCAGGCUUCCUUGGCUUCUGAUGUUUGCGCAAUUGCCAGAGAUCUCUCUUGAGCUUUGGGAAGAAUAAACCACUAUCAUUUUUAUAAUUAAAAAGGGAAGAAAGUUCUUGGGAUCUCUACAUGGUUCAAGGGGCAGGGACAGAGCUGAAAAAAUAUGUUUACACCAAAUCACAGAUGUGGCUUCAAACUGCAACAUGAGUCACUUGAAUUUCGGGGAUGAGUUUGGCUUGACCUUUACUAAGAACAGCCCUGCUUGGUUAGUCCAAACUCCCAUCUAGUCCUGCAACACAGUGGCCAAUCAGACAUUGCUGAGAAGCUCACAAGCAGGGCAUGAAAGCAAUGGGCCUUGCCAGGCACUUGUCACCAGCCACUGGCAUUUGGGGGAAGUAACUAUGUACUGCAUGAUUCAAUCUUUUGUUUGCUCUCAAUCUCCCAACCUUCCGAUUCAUUGGAUGUCUAUGAGUGCUGGUGCUAUACAAGAGAGGGAGACAAAAAGGAUGCAUCCUGCCCUUCUCCAGCAGCUCAGUGCAAAUAAGUGAGAGGUCUGCUCCAUGGGGGUGAGUGGGGACUACCCCACCAAUCUCAACCGGCCUUCAUGCCACCACCACAUUCCAGCCUUUUACUUACAAGUGGUGGUUCUUGUCCAUCAUUGUCUCUGGCUCCAGCUAUCGUGGUGCCCCUCUCACUCCCACCAAACAGACAGCUGCCACAUAUAUUUGUUGAUGCUGACCUUUAAAGCCCUAAAUGACAUUGGCCCUGAAUAUCAAAAGGAGCGUCUCCACACCCAUCGUCCAGACCAGAUACUGAGGUCCAGCUCCAAGGGCCUUCUGGAGGUUCCCUCAAGCAUUAAUACACUCAAGCGAGAUUCCGUUUUUCAGUUGCUGUUUUUAAUAGUAGAAGCAGAAUUUCAAGUUACACUAAUUUAUUUUUUAGGCUUCGGUUAUGAACUCGGGAAGAAAGUAAGGUGGGUCAUGUCAAAAUAUAAACUGGAUAUUGUGGAGAAAGAUAAUUAUGUAUGAAGAGGGAGGCUGUACUCCAGGUGACUCUCCAGGUAGGGUUAUCCCGAAAAGUUGUAAGUCCAGACCCUCUCCAGGCAUGUGAUCCAAUGAUUCCCUUUCAUCAUUCAAGAUGAAUGAAAAAUGAAGAGCAAACAUAAUCUAAGGAGGUAAAUUCAUUCCCAAGGCAACUCUGUGUGUUUCAUUACUACUGUGGUGGAAAACGGUUAUAAAUAUAUUAAGAAUCAGGCAAUAACUUUAGUUUUUGUGGCCAGGUGUUCCUUUGUGUUCAGAUCAGGCCUCAGCACAAGAAUGUAGCAUUUGGGAAUGAAGAUGCAGCCCAGAAGCCCAGCACUAGAAGCCAAGAUAGAGAAGAUCUGCACAGCUACCAUGUAUUUCCCCUUGGUGCUCAGGUAGGUGGGCACAAAGGAGACCCAAACGCUGCAGAAGACCAGCAUGCUGAAGGUGAUCAGCUUGGCUUCAUUGAAGGCCCCAGGCAGCUUCCUGGCCAGGAAAGCCACCGUGAAACAGAUGGCAGCCAGGAAGCCCAUGUAACCCAGGGCAGCAUAAAACAUGGCAACAGACCCUUCAUUGCAUUGCAGGGUGAUCUCUCCAGCCUGGGAGUGCAUGUCAGAGUCUGGGAAUGGGGGAGAGAUACACAGCCAAAUGAUGCAAAUAACCAUUUGGACACUGGAGCAGGAAAGGACAAUGGAGUUGGCCAGACUUUUCCCUAACCAUCUCCUCACCCUGUUCCCUGGCUUUGUGGCCAGGAAGGCCAGCACCACCAUGAUGGUUUUGGACAGCAAAGAGGAUACAGCAACUGAGAAGAUGGUGCUGAAGGCCGUUUGUCGAAGGAGGCAGGUGACUUUCCUGGGACGGCCAAUGAAGAGGAAGGAGGACAAGAAGGACAGCAGGAGGGAGACAAGGAGGAUGAAGGAGAGGUCCCUGUUGUUGGCUUUGACUAUGGGAGUUUCCUUGUAUUUAAUGAAGAUCCCUACAACAAAGCCUGUGGUUAAGGACAGGAAGAGAGCCAAAGAAGUCAGGAGAAUCCCCAGAUAUUGUUUAUAUGAUAGGAAGGAGAUAAUCCUCGGAAUGCAGUGAUCUCGGUCCUUGUUUGGAUAUUGUUCUUCUGGACAUUUGGUGCAACGCUCUGCAUCUGAGGAGGAGAAAAGGAAUGGCUUUGGCUUUGCUUACAGACAUAUUCUAUUACAUGUUGAGAAAUGCACUCAUAUGGGAGAUAUCAGAAAAUGAGAAUGUAUUGUAAGAAAGGAAAGCUUCUUUGGUGCAUUUACUUAUGCGAUAGUUUUUGGGCAGUAACCCCGCUUCAUUUCCAUAUUUCAUUUCGCGUUUAAUUUGUAUACUGCCUUUGUACAUUGCUAUGCAGAAGGAAGGUUACAAACUGAAGAAACAACAAAAUAGACAGCAAAGAUCACAGACGUAAUACACACACAAAAAGUCAUCAUAAAAGCAUAACUUUAAAAUAAACAACAUAUCAUAUAAUGCAAAAUUCAAUAAUAUUCAAUCAUAACACUCAGAAAUAGUAAAAAGUAAAAUUUAAUAUCAGCAAAUAAGAAACAGCUAAUGCUUAUCAUGUACAAUAAAGAAUUCCUAAUUUAUAAUUAAUAAAAAACAGCAAGUCACAAUGAAUAAAAUACCACAAAACAUGCAAAAGGAUCAAACUGAAAAACUAGGACACACAACUUAUGAUUUAUUUAUUUUUAAUAUCCUUGAACUCCUCUCUUCCAAACUGCUACAGCUGUUCUCAAACUCCUUGUCUGGGAUAUCCCAUAACUUCCUGCUGAAAUCUCAUAAUCUUUAAUUGUUCUACAAUGCAAUGGAAUGGAAUGUUCACCUAAUUUUUUUGAUUAUUGUGCAUCAUGCUUUCUCUCUUUUAAAUAAAUAUUUGCUAUUUUCAGUAUUUCUCGUUUAUUUUGAUGACAUUUUUAAUUUCUUUUUGUGACAGUGGUUCUGGUUCUCUGGUCCUAGAAGGCUUGGUACAAAAUAGCCAAAGCUGUGCCAUAUGGGCAGGGCAGGCUGAACCCAAUUUGCAUCCCAGAGAUUGCUUCCUGCGUGUCAUUUCUUUCAAAUAAAUUCCUGGAAGGAGUUAAAAAUGAAGAAAUCAAUAAAGGAUCUGCAUCCAAAUACGUCUUUAGAAUCUUCACAGAAGGUUUCUGGCCAAUAUGUUGCCCUAUUCAUAUUCUCCCAACAAAUUCCAUCUCCUGUGGCGUCACCCACCUUCCUGUGUAGAUAUGGUCCCUUCCGCACACGGAACACAAGCAUAGCAGCAAACUGGCUUGUCUUCUUGAACCACCUUGGCAUAUCCUGGGUGACACCUUUUGGUACACCUGGCGUGAGGAACAGUCUAGCCAUGAAGAAAAAAUUGCACAUUAAAGGGGAAGUGUCAGCAAUAUUUGUGCAUAUGGAACUCACUCAGAGAGUCUGGAGAGAACCCAGCAGGGUCUCCAGUCCCACAAGAAAGCACCCUUGAUGUCAGGGGUGCCAACUUGAAUAAAAUAUUGUGGGGGCCCAGAUAAGCCACACAACACAUAAUUGAUGCCCAUCAUCUUUAUGGGUCCCCAGCCCCCUCAAAUAUUUUAUUGCGGGGGCCAAAGCCCCCACAGCUCCUAGGAGUUGGCUCCUAUGCUUGAUAUAGAAUGGAAGCCUCCCUGCUGUGUUUGCUUUUUAAAUAAUAACAAUAGCAAUAAUAAUUUAUUUAUACCCCACCCAUCUGGCUGGGUUUCCCCAGCCACUCUGGGCAGCUUCCAACAAUAGAUUAGAAAUACAUUAAAAUAUCAAUCAUUAAGAACUUCCCUAAACAGGGCUGCCUUCAGAUGUCUUAUAAAAGUUGUUUAUUUCCUUGACAUCUGAUGGGAGGGCGUUCCACGGGGCAGGCACCACUACCAAGAAGACCCUCUGCCUGGUUCCCUAUAACCUCACUUCUUGCAGGGAGGGAACGGCCAGAAGGCCCUUGGAGCUGGACCUCUGAACGAUGGGGCUGGAGACGCUCCUUCAGAUAUAUUGGGCUGAGGCGGUUUAGGGCUUUAAAGGUCAGCACCAACACUUUGAAUUGUGCUCGGAAAUGUACUGAAAAGAGUAUUAAUACAUAGGUCUUUGAACAACUGGACUGAGGCACAGUCUAAUAAUAAGAAAAAAGAGGGUACAUACAGGAGAAAUAGUUGUGUGCCCGGAAUAUUUGUGUCUAUGGAGUUGAUUCAUAGAGUUUGGAAACAACCCAACAAGUUCUCUAGGCUCAGGGCAAAAGAUGAAGAAAGAAAACUAAAGAAAAAGGCCAUCCCAGAACAGAAGCAAUAAAACACUCUGAUGAAGAGCAGUAUUUAAACAUAGAGUAUGAUCACAUCUUAUGCAGGGGUUACAUUCUGGGGAAGGAGUAGUAUAUGCAAAAAUGUAUAUACAGUGGUACCUUGGUUCCUGAAUGUCUUGGCUCCCAAACAAAUCAGCUACUGAUCGCUGCAAACCCGGGGGCAAGUGUUCCGGUUUGUGAACAUUUUUCGGAAGCCGAACGUCUGACGCGGCUUUCAGUUGAGUGCAGGAAGCUCCCGCAGCCAAUCGGAAGCCAUUCCUUGGUUUUCGAACAGUUUGGGGAGUUGAGCAGACUUCCGGAAUGGAUUAAGUUCCAGAACCAAAAUUCGACUGCGCUCGAAUGAGCCCCUUGGAACGGCUCCUGCACAACCACCCUGACCUUCCGGAGCUGGCAUGCCAAGCAGGUCUUACUCCCAAGCUCUCUGGUUUGCUCACUGGGCUCCAGGAUGCUCUUGCGUGGGCUCUGCGAUGUUCUCAUGAGAUCUCGCAGGGCCGGGCUGGAUUAACCAUUAAGCAGAAUAAGUACGUGCUUAGCGCAUCCAGGGAAGGCGGGCACCACAGGAAUUUUUCUGUUGCUGGAUUUACCAUGGACCAUAUUGUGCAGCUCAAUCAGGUUCCACAAAAAAGGCUCCCACAAUAAAUGAAAAAAUUACAUACAUACAUACACACAUACAUGUGUGUGUGUGUAUCUGCACAUGAAGAGCAUUAUACACAUUUAAUAAUUUACCUAAUUAAUUAUAAUGAAAGCAUCAGCCAAACUUCCAAAAGAUUAUACCUGAAUUCCUCUUGGAAAUAUUCAACAGUUUACUAGAUCUUCAUGUGUAUCAUGUGGAAUAAAGGGGCUCUUACCUGGUUGAACCACUUGGGCCACACAAUAGCUUCUGGGUUAAUGGUGAGCUUGAAGUCAGUGGAUGCCUCUCUCUCUAUACUCCCAAUUUUCACUCUAACACAAGACUCAUUGGGAAGCACCACCCAAUUCUCAAUAUCAAACAUGAUUGGCAGCUCCCCAUCCUCACCCAAAUACAGUCCGCCCAUGGAAGUGUUCAACAAACGGGUUUCUCUUAAGAAAGGGUGAAGCUGGAAUGACAGGGGAAACACCAGCAUUUCAAAUCAUUUCAAAGCAUUUUGGACAUCUCAUCCCUGCUACCUUUCAGCUCCAAAGUCCUGGCAUACCUGGCCUCGUUAGAAUUUACGGAGGACUAAACACCCGAACUUAGAAAGCAUUUUAGAUGCCUCAUCCCUGCUUCCUUAGAACUCAAAACUCCCUUUGUGCCACAACUUAUCCUACUGGCAAGACUAAACAGACACCCUCCAGGUGAAGGGAGUCUGCUUUUAACUGGUUUUGGCUUCUAUUGGUUUUAUUAUAUGGUCUUAUGUUUUUUAUUGCAGUAGACCACCUUGAUAUUUUAUGAAAUACACAUUUUAUAUAUAUUUUCCAGCAGGAGCCUAAAAAAAUAAUCUAAAUCUAAAUAAAUAAAACAAAAACCUUUUCCUCACUGUUGCAUUUGUGUCUAAAUCAAUGAGAAUGAUUAUUGUAGAGUUGGUAGAAAGAACUUCAAUUUCUAGAAAGGCAAAUGAAAUACCUGCCAUGGCUCUAGCCUUUGACAUGCCAACUGGUCUCUUCCACCCGCCAUCAACAUCUGCUUUGAUCUAGAUGAACAGGCAACAUUUAAAGCUUGUGCCAUGAUUUGGACACUGAAGUAUGUUCUGUGGCUGUCUUGAGACAGAACACUCUGCAGCUCCUCUUCAGACGGCACCUCCGGAUUCUCCACAUCUCUGCAUCUUGUCCAACCUCUCACACUGAGGACGUGCUUUGAGUUUGAACAACUAAAUGCUGUUUGCCGAAACAGAGUAAGAUAAGACUCUUUUUUACAGCAGUCCCGUUUGCUCCUAAUUUUGGUCUUCAUUACAAAGGAGAAUGAACCAUGGAUAUACUUCAAGGACUUGGGAAAGAAAAAUAAAUUCAUAUCAAUGUCCUGAAAAGCUGUUAUGAGCCAUACUUUUGGCCCAAUUUGUUUCUCAAGUUCUUGUUGUAAUGUCAUGAUGAAACCCAGUGCCGUCUGAAUGUUUACAUAGUAAAGGAAUACAUUGGUUUGUCUCCAUAGGGCAAUAAAUUCACUUUGUGUGAACAUCUUAGGUUCAUUAUUUUCUGGUAUUCUUACUGAAAAGGCAACACAAAUUCCAUUGCUGGCCAUCAGAGAUGUCAAGGCACUCAAGAACCUUUCUCCAUUCUCACUGUCUGGAGCAAAGAGGCCGAUCCAUGUCCAUCCAAAAUGCUGGAGCAACUUUACAAUCCCCGUGUACUGAACGUCUUCAUUGGGGACCAUGCGGUAGACAAAAGGAACUUUGGUGUUCUCAUCAUCAACCCCAGAUACAAAGCCAUAACUGAUCUGAAGUGGGGGAGAAAAAGUAUAGUGUUUCAUUUUCAAAGAACAGGAUUAGUCUGAAAUACUUAAUAUCUAACAAAUAUUGUGCUGGCCUGGGCUGAUAGUUUUAUUUUGAAACUUUGGGCAGUUGCAAAACUAGCAAAGUCUCUGUGUUGAAGAGUCAUAGAAUCGUAGAGUUGAAAGCGACCCUGAGGGUCAUCUUGUCCUCCCCCCCUGCAAUUCAGCUGUCCCAUACGGUGAUCAAGCCUGCAACCUUGACAUUGGCAGCACCACACUCUAACCAACUGAGCUAUCUAGCGUAACAUAGCUCAGGAUUUGAUGCCUCUUUUUGCUGAUGAUGAAGUGAAUUUAUUUUGCUGCUGAACCUCUUUUGUGUCCCUCCAUGCCCCACCCUUCAUACCUGUGGGAUUUUGUACAUGCCUGACGUGGUUGAAAUCACUUUGGAGAUGAUGGAAUUGGCUCCUUCAAGAACAGCCAAGAUAUUAUUCCAUUUUCCACAGCGAUAGUUUGGAAUGUUGCUUUCCCCACCUGCAAGCAGGUCUAGCAUGGCAUCAGAAGUGAUCCUUGCAUUGUAAUAGUUCUCAUAGAGGCUGUAGCCCAAUGUGAUGUUGGGUAAGAGCCUGGGAUCCCGGUUGAUCUCUUGGAUGGUGAACAAGAACGACAAGAUAUGCCAGUAGAACCUAAAUGGCAAUCUGUAUGAAAUCAAUCAAAUAAAAAGUGUCAAACCAUUCACCAUUUAAUGAAAAUAAAUCAUGAUCAGGUUCAUUUAUACACUUGUGUUCUUCAGCAAGCAACACAGCAGCACAGAAGGUAAAAAUAGAGCACGUCUGGGAAGAUGCAACCCACUAGCUGGUGUGAAACUCAAGUUCCCUUCAGCCCCUGCCAGCAUGGCCAGUGAUCAGGGGUGAUGGGAGCUGUAGUCCCACAACGUCUGGAAGACCACAGAGUCCUCACCCCUAAAAUGGAGACUAUUUCCCUAGUAAACAGGAGCCAUUGGGGUGCAGUAGAAAAACGUGACGUCCUUCUGCAUAUAAUUACUUACUCAUCCUUAAACCUGGUUAAUGGGGGCUGCGAAAAGUUGUAUGGAAGUUGUAGACCAAACAAAUUUGGAGAUAUUAUCCCGCCAAUGAGGAAGUCGCCAGUCUGGAAAUAAUUCUGUGCUUUGAUUCCUUCCCGGAUUGGAUUCAAGGGGCAUUUUGCUUUCAGGUUUCCGCAGGAUUCAAGCAAAAUGAGCAGCAUCAGCUUCUGGGAUCUCAUUCUGACUGACUGCUACACCUCUCUUGUGAGUGUUCCUCUCUCCCCCAUAGCCAGCUACAUCAGAAGAAGCCAAAAAACUCUUAUUUAUCCAAUAUGGGUGGUGGUCAGCUACAGCUUCAGAGCCAUUAAACCUCACACAGAUGUAUCCCACCCCUCUUACUCUCAGUCUUGACUCAGUCUGUCUCUGACACAGGUGAUCUUUUGUGCAUCAACUUUUCCCUCAGCAACAAGGCAGAAUAAAUCAUGAUGAUUUUGAUAAUUAUUAGGGGAAGAAGUUCAUCUCUGCAACAACCUGAAGUCUCUGUGUGGCCUGAGGGGCAGGAGCAGAGUUGGAGAUAAACAUGGUUGCGAGGAAUCAAAGUCGGUGCAAAGUUGGUUAGUUUGACAUGGGUCACGUGGCUUACCUGGGUCCCCACAAUAUUUUAUUUAAGUUGGCACCCCUGACAUCAAGGGUGUUUGCUUGUGGGACUGGAGACCCUGCUCUCCAGGGAGGUCCGGCUGCUACCUUCAUUGUACACCUUCAGGUGCCAAGCGAAAUGUUCCUUUUUAACCAGGCCUUUGGCUCAUUGACAUCCAAUGCCCUUUGAAAUGUCUUCUGGGUGGAGGGAUUAUUGGUUAGUUUGUGUUCUUUUUUAUUAUGUAUUUUGUCUUUUUUUAUAUUGUAUUUUUAUGUUGUGAACCACCCUGACAUCUAUGGCCGAUGGGCGCUAUAGAAAUUUAAUAAAUACGAUAAUAAGAAUAAGAAUAAAAUCAAACUCAGGUGUCUGGCUUGGCUCGUUUCUGACUACCUAAUAUCAAGUUUCAGUCAUGUCCUUCCAUGUACUAAGUUUUCUCCUAGUCUUGUACUUUUGAUCCUCAUCAAAACUCACAUGCCGAAAAUAUUUCUCUUCCACAAACUAUGUGUAUCACCGUUGCAGAUUUCCAUAUGACCUUUUAUCUAUGUCCUUCCUGUAGCUAGUUUAAUGUCCCUUUUCUACUAAUUUAGCUAAGUUCAUUUUGCACUUUAGCAUUUCAGUUGACAACGUCUUAAGAGGCUUAGGAAAUUCAGCUAUGAGUAAUAUGCAGUCUAACUCAAGAUAGAAGAGCCUGGUACAGAAAUGAUUUCAAGCAACAGUGGGCAACUCCACAAUUGCUAUUAGUGAAGAAUCGGGAAUCAGAAACUUUAAGAGGUCUACUGUCAAUUACUGUCAAUCUCCUCCGCAUCACAAGUGAGCUAAGGGAACUUUGACAAUGAUGCUUUUGGACCUUUUUCUCACCAUACACAUGAUUAGCUGGAAUUGCAGUGAGAGGAAACUGCUUGCCUAUGCAGGGGGGAGGGGUUAUUGGGGCAUUGUGUUUUGAUUACGUAUUUUGUGGUGUCGUAGUUACACUUUGAUUUUGUUCUGUGAACUACCCUGAGGCCUCCCGGCAUAGGUAUAUAAAUUCAAUUAAUAAUUAUAAUAAUAAUAAGUAUAAUAAUAAUAUUCAUAGAGUUUACUGCAGCCCUCAGGAAAAUAAUAUCUGGGAUCCAGAUUAUUUUUUAAUUCCAACAACAACCUGUGGUUCCACUCAAGAUUCAGAGGGGUGGGGACAUUCAACUCUACAAUUCUACAACUGUACAAAGGCCUCAGGUUAUUUAUAGCAUCUUUAUCUUGCUCUUUGGCCAAUCUCCCACUGUAGUUUACAAAUAUCAUUCCUAAAACAGCCUAUGUCCUCAAGCUUAUAAUUUUAAAAGACACGGAUAAUAAUAAUAAUAAUAAUAAUAAUAAUAAUAAUAUUUUUUUAAAAAAAUAUUUUUAUUUAUAUCCCACCCUCCCCAGCUGAAGCCGGGCUCAGAGCGGCUAACAACAAUAAAAAUAACACAGCAUUCUAAAAUCAAUACAUUUAAAAUCAAUUCAAAUCAAAUUAAUGGCACCUCCAAGAUGUUUUUAUUUGAAGACCGUAAGGAGCAAAAGGAAAAGAGAUUAGAAACUCCCCUCGGACUUGGCCUCCACAAACAGUGAUCAGGAUGAUAGGAGCCAGAGCCCAGAAGCGCCUGAAGGGCCACUGUCUCCCUAUCCCUGAAACUAUUUCCCUGUGAAAGUGAACCAUUGAAGAGGUGGUGGAGAAGCAUGAUAUCCAUGAUGUAUUUAAUUAUUUACUCUUUAAGCUUGGUUACUGGGGGCUGGGAAAAGUUAUAUGGAAGUUGCUCAGCAAAGCUUCUUGGAGAUAUGAUUCCGCUAAUGAGGAAGUCUCCAGGCCGCAAGUAACUUUGCGCUUCAUUUUCUUCCCUCAUCAAAUUUAAGGAGCACUUUGCUUUCAGCUUCCUACAGACUUGUAAUGUGACAAAGACACAUGAGAGCAGAAGCAGCAAAGCAGGCUGGGAAGUGCUGGGACUGCACAGUCAUUUGGGCCUACUAAAGUUAUUCAGGCCUAAGUGCUAACUGUUGAGUCACUCUGACAUGUGACAUAGUAGCCAGUUUCUCUUUUGUGCUCUCUGUAAGAAAUCAGAGUCUGUCUGCUUCGGUUGUGAGCAGAGUCACUAUGUAAUCUGAGUGUCAAACUGUUUGGAACCAUGUUGUUUAUGAAGAAGUUUAUUUUAACUUAGUAAAGCUUUUAUUCUUUAAAACUCUGUAUUAUUCAUUUACGCUGCACGUCAAGACUUGAUGGUGCAUUAGAAGCAGAGGUAGCAGCAGAAGCCGCAGCAGGGAGGGCAUUCUGGCUUGGCCUCCUACACCUCCAUUUUGACUUCUCCUUUCUCCCCCACAGCCAGGUAAUCAGAAGUCAACACCCUCCAGCACAGUGUGAUACGUAUAACCUCAGGCUUCCUUGGCUUCUGAUGUUUGGGCAAUUGCCAGAGAUCUCUCUUGAGCUUUGGGAAGAAUAAACCACUAUCAUUUUUAUAAUUAAAAGGGGAAGAAAGUUCUUGGGAUCUCUACAUGGUUCAAGGGGCAGGGACAGAGCUGAAAAAAUAUGUUUACACCAAAUCACAGACGUGGCUUCAAACUGCAACAUGAGUCACUUGCAUUUCCGAGAUGAGUUUGGCUUGAACUUUGCUAAGAACAGCCCUGCUUUGUUAGUCCAAACUCCCAUCUAGUCCUGCAACACAGUGGCCAAUCAGACAUUGCUGAGAAGCUCACAAGCAGGGCAUGAAAGCAAUGGGCCUUGCCAGGCACUGGUCACCAGCAACUGGCAUUUGGGGGAAGUAACUAUGUACUGCAUGAUUCAAUCUUUUGUUUGCUCUCAAUCUCCCAACCUUCCGAUUCAUUGGAUGUCUAUGAGUGCUGGUGCUAUACAAGAGAGGGAGACAAAAGGAUGCAUCCUGCCCUUCUCCAGCAGCUCAGUGCAAAUAAGUGAGAGGUCUGCUCCAUGGGGGUGAGUGGGGACUACCCACCAAUCUCAACCGGCCUUCAUGCCACCACCACAUUCCAGCCUUUUACUUACAAGUGGUGGUUCUUGUCCAUCAUUGUCUCUGGCUCCAGCUAUCGUGGUGCCCCUCUCACUCCCACCAAACAGACAGCUGCCACAUCCGUUUGUUGAUGCCAAUCUUGAAAACCCUAAAUGACAUUGGCCCUGAAUAUUUAAAGGAGCGUCUCCACACCCAUCGUCCAGACCAGAUACUUAGGUCCAGCUCCAAGGGCCUUCUGGAGGUUCCCUCAAGCAUUAAUACACUCAAGUGAGAUUCUGUUUUUCAGUUGCUGUUUUUAAUAUUAGAAGCAGAAUUUCAAGUUACACUAAGUUAUUAUUUAGGCUUAGGUUAUGAACUCAGGAAGAAAGGAAGGUGGGUCAUGUCAAAGUACAAACUGGAUGUGAUAGAGAAGGAUAAUUAUGUAUGAAGAGGGAGGCUGCACUCCAGGAGACUCUACAGAUAGGGUUAUCCCUAAAAGUUGUAAGUCCAGACACUCUCCAGGCAUGUGAUACAAUGAUUCCUUUUCAUCAUUCGAGAUGAAUGAAAAAUAAGGAGCAAACUUUAUCUAAGGAGAUGCAUUCAUUCCCAAGGCAACUCUGUGUGUUUCAUUACUACUGUGGUGGAAAACGGUUAUAAAUAUAUUAAGAAUCAGGCAACAACUUUAGUUUUUGUGGCCAGGUGUUCCUUUGUGUUCAGAUCAGGCCUCAGCACAAGAAUGUAGCAUUUGGGAAUGAAGAUGCAGCCCAGAAGCCCAGCACUAGAAGCCAAGAUAGAGAAGAUCUGCACGGCUACCAUGUAUUUCCCCUUUGUGCUCAGGUAGGUGGGCACAAAGGAGACCCAAACGCUGCAGAAGACCAGCAUGCUGAAGGUGAUCAGCUUGGCUUCAUUGAAGGCCCCAGGCAGCUUCCUGGCCAGGAAAGCCACCGUGAAGCAGAUGGCAGCCAGGAAGCCCAUGUAACCCAGGGCAGCAUAAAACAUGGCAACAGACCCUUCAUUGCAUUGCAGGGUGAUCUCUCCAGCCUGGGAGUGCUUGUCAGAGUCUGGGAAUGGGGGAGAGAUGCCCAGCCAAAUGAUGCAAAUGACCAUUUGGACACUGGAGCAGGAAAGGACAAUGGAGUUGGCCAGACUUUUCCCUAACCAUCUCCUCACCCUGUUCCCUGGCUUUGUGGCCAGGAAGGCCAGCACCACCAUGAUGGUUUUGGACAGCAAAGCGGAUACAGCAACUGAGAAGAUGGUGCUGAAGGCCGUUUGUCGAAGGAGGCAGGUGACUUUCCUGGGACGGCCAAUGAAGAGGAAGGAGGACAAGAAGGACAGCAGGAGGGAGACAAGGAGGAUGUAGGAGAGGUCCCUGUUGUUGGCUUUGACUAUGGGAGUUUCCUUGUAUUUAAUGAAGAUCCCUACAACAAAGCCUGUGGUUAAGGACAGGAAGAGAGCCAAAGAAGUCAGGAGAAUCCCCAAAUAUUGUUUAUAUGAUAGGAAGGUGAUAAUCCUCGGAAUGCAGUGAUCUCGGUCCUUGUUUGGAUAUUGUUCUUCUGGACAUUUGGUGCAACGCUCUGCAUCUGAGGAGGAGAAAAGGAAUGGCUUUGGCUUUGCUUACAGACAUAUUCUAUUACAUGUCGAGAAAUGCACUCAUAUGGGAGAUAUCAGAAAACGAGAAUGUAUUGUAAGAAAGGAAAGCUUCUUCGGUGCAUUUCCUUAUGCAAUAGUUUUCGGGCAGUAACACUACUUCAUUUCCAUAUUUCAUUUCGCUUUUAAUUUGUAUACUGCCUUUGUACAUUGCUAUGCAGAAGGAAGGUUACAAGCUGAAGAAACAACAAAAUAGACAGCAAAGAUCACAGACGUAAUACACACACAAAAAGUCCUCAUAAAAGCAUAACUUUAAAAUAAACAACAUAUCAAAUUAAGCAAAAUUCAAUAAUAUUCAAUAAUAAUAUUCAGGAAUAGUAAACAGUAAAAUCUAAUAUCAGCAAAUGCUAAACAGCUUACACUUAUCAUGUACAAUAAAGAAUUACCAAUCAAUAAUCAAUAAAAACAGCAAGUCACAAUGAACAAAAUACCACAAAACAUGCAAACCAUGUAAAGGAUCAAACUGAGAAACAAGGACACACAACUUAUGAUUUAUUUAUUUUUAAUAUCCUUGAACUCCUCUCUUCCAAGCUGCUACAGCUGUUCUCAAACUCCUUGUCUGGGAUAUCCAAUAACUUCCUGCUGAAAUUCCAUAAUUUUUUAUUGUUCUACAAUGCAAUGGAAUGGAAUGUUCACCUAAUUUUUUUGAUUAUUGUGCAUCAUGCUUUCUCUCUUUUAAAUAAAUAUUUGCUAUUUUCACUAUUUCUCGUUUAUUUUGAAGACAUUUUUAAUUUCCUUUUGUGACGGUGGUUCUGGUUCUCUGAUCCUAGAAGGCUUGGUAUAAAAUAGCCAAAGCUGUGCCUUAUGGGCAGGGCAGGCUGAACCCAAUUUGCAUCCCAGAGAUUGCUUCCUGCAGUCAUUACUUUCAAAUUACUUCCCGGGAGGGGAUUAAAAAUCAAGAAAGGAUCUGCAUCCAAAUAUGUCUUUAGAAUCUUCACAGAAUGUGUCUGACUAAUAUGUUGCCCUAUUCAUAUUCUCCCAACAAAUUCCAUCUCCUGUGGCGUCACCCACCUUCCUGUGUAGAUAUGGUCCCUUCCGCACACGGAACACAAGCAUAGCAGCAAACUGGCUUGUCUUCUUGAACCACCUUGGCAUAUCCUGGGCGACACCUUUUGGUACACCUGGCGUGAGGAACAGUCUAGCCAUAAAGAAAAGAUGCACAUUAAAGGGGAAGUGUGGGCAAUAUUUGUGCAUAUGGAACUCAGAGAGUCUGGAGAGAACCCAGCAGGGUCUCCAGUCCCACAAGAAAGCACCCUUGAUGUCAGGGGUGCCAACUUGAAUAAAAUAUUGUGGGGGCCCAGAUAAGCCACACAACACAUAAUUGAUGCCCAUCAACUUUAUGGGUCCCCAGCCCCCUCAAAUAUUUUAUUGCGGGGGCCAAAGUCCCCACAGCUCCUAGGAGUUGGCUAUAUGCUUGAUGUAGAACGGAAGCCUCCCUGCUGUGUUUGCUUUUUAAAUAAUAACAAUAGCAAUAAUAAUUUAUUUAUACCCCACCCAUCUGGCUGGGUUUCCCCAGCCACUCUGGGCAGCUUCCAACAAUAGAUUAGAAAUACAUUAAAAUAUCAAUCAUUAAGAACUUCCCUAAACAGGGCUGCCUUCAGAUGUCUUAUAAAAGUCAGGUAGUUGUUUAUUUACUUGACAUCUGAUGGGAGGGCGUUCCACGGGGCAGGCACCACUACUGAGAAGGCCCUCUGCCUGGUUCCCUGUAACCUCACUUCUUGCAGGGAGGGAACGGCCAGAAGGCCCUCGGAGCUGGACCUCAGUGUCUGAGCUGAACGAUGGGGCUGGAGACGCUCCUUCAGAUAUAUUGGGCUGAGGCGGUUUAGGGCUUUAAAGGUCAGGACCAACACUUUGAAUUGUGCUCGGAAAUGUACUGAAAAGAGUAUUAAUACAUAGGUCUUUGAACAACUGGACUGAGGCACAGUCUAAUAAUAAUAAAAAAGAGGGUACAUACAGGGGAAAUAGUUGUGUUCCAGGAAUAUUUGUGUCUAUGGAGUUGAUUCAUAGAGUUUGGAAACAACCCAACAAGUUCUCUAGGCACAGGGCAAAAGAUGCUGAAAGAAAACUAAAGAAAAAGGCCAUCCCAGAACAGCAGCAAUAAAACACUCUGAUGAAGAGCAGUAUUUAAACAUAGAGUAUGAUCACAUCUUAUGCAGGGGUUACAUUCCGGGGAAGGAGUAGUAUAUGCCAAAAUGUAUAUGCAGUGGUACCUUGGUUCCUGAAUGGCUUGGCUCCCAAACAUAUCAGCUCCCGAACGCUGCAAACCUGGAAGCUGCCGCAGCCAAUUAGAAGCCAUUCCUUAGUUUUCGAACAGUUUGGGGAGUUGAGCGGACUUCCGGAAUGGAUUAAGUUCCAUAACCAAAAUUCGACUGUGCUCGAAUGAGCCCCUUGGAACGGCUCCUGCACAACCACCCUGACCUUCCGGAACUGGCAUGGCAAGCAGGCCUUACUCCCAAGCUCUCUGGUUUGCUCACUGGGCUCCAGGAUGCUCUUGCGUGGGCUCUGCGAUGUUCUCAUGAGAUCUCACAGGGCCAGGCUGGAUUAACCAUUAAGCAAAAUAAGUACGUGCUUAGGGCAUCCAGGGAAGGCGGGCACCACGGAAUUUUUCUGUUCCUGGAUUUACCAUGGACCAUAUUGUGCAACUCAAUCAGGUUCCACAAAAAAGGCUCCCACAAUAUAUGAAAAAAUUACAUACAUACAACCAUACAUACAUACAUUCAUACUUACAUGUGUGUGUGUAUCUGCACCUGAAGAGCAUUAUACACAUUUAAUAAUUUACUUAAUUAAUUAUAAUGAAAGCAUCAGCCAAACUUCCAAAAGAUUAUACCUGAAUUCCUCUUGGGAAUUUGACAGAUAACUAGAUCUUAAUGGGUAUCAUGUGGAAUAAAGAGGCUCUUACCUGGUUGAACCACUUGGGCCACACAAUAGCUUCUGGGUUAAUGGCAAGCUUGAAGUCAGUGGAUGCCUCUCUCUCUAUACUCCCAAUUUUCACUCUAACACAAGACUCAUUGGGAAGCACCACCCAAUUCUCAAUAUCAAACAUGAUUGGCAGCUCCCCAUUCUCACCCAAAUACAGUCCGCCCAUGGAAGUGUUCAACCACCGGGUUUCUCUUAUGAAAGGGUGAAGCUGGAAUGACAGGGGAAACACCAGCAUUUCAAAGCAUUUUGGACAUCUCAUCCCUUCUCCCUUUGAGCUCCCAAGUCCUGGCAUACCUGGCCUCGUUGGAAUCUACAGAGGACUAAACACCCAAACUUAGAAAGCAUUUUAGAUGCCUCAUCCCUGCUCCCUUUGAACUCCUAAGUCCUGGCAUACCUGGCCUCGUUGGAAAUUACAGAGGACUGAACACCCGAACUUAGAAAGCAUUUCAGAUGCCUCAUCCCUGCUUCCUUGGAACUCAAAACUCCUGUUGUGCCACAACUUCUCCUACUGGCAAGACUAAACAGACACCCUCCAGGUGGAGGGACGUCUGCUUUUAACUGGUUUUGGCUUCUAUUGGUUUUAUUAUAUGGUCUUAUGUUUUUUAUUGCAGUAGACCACCUUGAUAUUGCAUUCGUGUCUAAAUCAAUGAGAAUGAUUAUUGUAGAAUUGGUAGAAAGAACUUUGAUUUCUAGAAAGGGAAAGGAAAUACCUGCCAUGGCUGUAGCCUUUGACAUGCCAACUGGUCUCCUCCACCCGCCAUCAACAUCUGCUUUGAUCUAGAUGAACAAGCUACAUUUAAAGCAUGUGCCAUGAUUUGGACACUGAAGUAUGUUCUGUGGCUGUCUUGAGACAGAACAGUCUGCAGCUCCUCUUCAGAUGGCACCUCCGGAUUCUCCACAUCUCUGCAUCUUGUCCAAUCUCUCACAGCGAGGACGUGCUUUGAGUAUGAACAACUAAAUGCUUUUUCCUGAAACAGAUUAAAAAGAUGGGACUCUGAUUUACAGCAGUCACGUUUGCUCCUUAUUUUGGUCUUCAUUACAAAGGAGAAUGAACCAUGGAUAUACUUCAAGUACUUGGGACCGUAAAGCAAAUUCAUGUCAAUGUCUUGAAAAGCUGUUGUGAGCCAUACUUUUGACCCAAGUUCUUGUUUCCAAAGUACUUCUUCUAGUGUCAUGAGGAUACGCAGUGCUGUAUGACUGUUUACAUAGUAAAGGAAUACAUUGGUCUGUCUCCGUAGGGCAAUUAAUUCGCUUUGUGUGAACCUCCCAGGUUCAGUCCUUUCUGGUAUUGUUACUGAAAAGGCAACACAAAUUCCAUUGCUGGCCAUCAGAGAUGUCAAGGCACUCAAGAACUUUUCUCCAUUCUCAUUCUCUGGAGCAAAGAGGCCGAUCCACGUCCAUCCGAAAUGCUGGAGCAUCUUUACAAUCCCCAAGUACUCAACUUCUUCAUUGGGGACCGUACGGUAGACAAAAGGGACUUUGGUGUUCUCAUCAACAACCCCAGAUACAAAGCCAUAACUAAUCUGGAGUGCGGAAGAAAAGUACAAUGUUUCAUUUUCUGAGCAAAGUACAGGAUUAGCCUGAAAUAUUUAAUACCUAACAAAUAUUUUGCUAGUUUUAUUUAUUUUGCUGACUGGGGCUGAUAGUUUUACUUUGAAACUUUGGGCAGCUGCAAAACUAGCAAAAUCUCUGUGUUGAAGAAUCAUAGAAUUGUAGAGUUGGAAGUGACCCUGAGGUUCAUCUUGUCCUGCAACCUUGACGUUGGCAGAACCACACUCUAACCAACUGAGCUAUCUAGCUUAACAUAGCUCAGGAUUUUCUCCCUCUUUGAUGCCUCUUUUUGACUCUGCUGACGAUAAUGAGAAUUUAUUUUGCUGUUGAACCUCUUUUGUGUGCCUCCCUUCAUACCUGUGGGAUUUUGUACAUGCUUGACAUGGUUGAAAUCACUUUGGAGAUGAUGGAAUUGGCUCCUUCAAGAACAGCCAAGAUAUUACUCCAUUUUCCACAGCGAUAGUUUGGAAUAUUGCUUUCCCCACCUGCAAGCAGGUCUAGCAUGGCAUCAGAAGUGAUCCUUGCAUUGUAAUAGUUCUCAUAGAGGCUGUAGCCCAGAGUGAUGUUGGGUAAGAGCCUGGGAUCCCGGUUGAUCUCUUGGAUGGUGAACAAGAACGACAAGAUAUGCCAGUAGAACCUAAAUGACAAUCUGUAAGAAAUCAAUCAAAUAAAAUGUGUCAAACCAUUCACCACUUGUUGAAAAUAAAUAGUAUUUGAUUCCCUAAAUCAUGGUCUGCAUUAGGGCUGCCAUACAGGCAUAGCAGGAAGACAGCAGUUGGAAACAGUGUGUGGGUGGAAAUCACUGGAAUUUCCUUUAAAAUAACUCAGAAACUUUGCCAAUAAAUCUUUUUGGUCUGGAUUUUCACUUGUUGCAACAUGGGGACUCUAGUCUGUAUGUUUGUUUGAAGGGUGAGAAGAGACAUAUCCUUCUUACAAGAUGAAAAUCCAUUUGCCACUUAAGAAUUAAAAUAUAAGGAUUUCUCAAGAGGAGAAGCACACAUCUUCAAAGAAGGAAAAUGAAGAAAACAUUUUCCCCCCCCGUAUGUGUGAGAAAUAUGGGGACAUGGCUGCUAAGGCUAGUAUUGGCUGCUUCAAAGGAGUUGCAUAAAGAGCCAACUGCAAUGGAGAGCUAAGUCUGUUUAGAAGCUCUAUUUGAUUAUUAUGGCUUAUUUUCAAUAGGCAUGAUUAGGAUUGGGCUGUUAUUUAAGAAAGGUCAGUUUCAACCAGUCUUUCAGCAAAACAAACAAUCAGAAGGAUAUAUUUUCUUCAGUCUACUUAAACUAACAUUUCAUCCAGGAGGAUAGUUUCCUUGUCAUCCAUAUUUCUCCCUGUGGGAACUGUUCAAUCACAUUGCAAUGGCAGUCGCAGACACUAAUUCUGCUGAUAUCUUCUGGGAGGUUAUUUCAGGCAGGGGAAAGGAUGGAAUCAAAUGCCCUCCCAAAUAUCAGCACAAAAGACCUCUGUUUUGUUUGUUUAAAUAUGUUUUGUUUUGGUUUUCAACAGUAACACUAUAAACUUAACAAGAACAGCAAACACAACACUUAGAGUAUAUGUUAUUGGAAGUAACCUUAAGGUACAUACAUAAUAGGCUCACUGGUUAAUUAGUCCUCUCCAUAGAGAUACAUGUGUUAUAGGGGGUUGCAAUAACUGUGCUGGCUUCUUAAUGUGAUCUGUAAAGAACAACCACAUGCUUAAAAAUGCUAUUUCCCAUACACCUGCAUACCAAGAACACAAAGUAGGAUUUUCUCCAAUGUCCCACUCAUCUCAUGAAUGCAGGUGUGAUCAUUCAGUGAAUUAUUUUGAUGCCUGAUCAGGUUCAUUUAUACACUUGUGUUCUUCAGCAAGCAACACAGCAGCACAGAAGGUAAAAAUAGAGCACGUCUGGGAACAUGCAACCCACUAGCUGCUGCGAAACUCAAGUUCCCUUCAGCCCCUGCCAGCAUGGCCAGUGAUCAGGGGUGAUGGGAGCUGCAGUCCUGCAACAUCUAAAAGACCACAGAGUCCUCACCCCUAAAAUGGAGACUAUUUCCCUAGUAACCAGAAGCCAUUGGGGUGCAGUAGAAAAACGUGACGUCCUUCUGCAUAUAAUUACUUACUCUUGUUUAAACCUGCUUAAUGGGGGCUGCGAAAAGAUGUAUGGAAGCUGCAGACCAAACAUAUUUGGACUUAUUAUCCCGCCAAUGAGGAAGUCGCCAGUCUGGAAAUAAUUCUGUGCUUUGAUUCCUUCCCAGAUUGGAUUCAAGGGGCAUUUUGCCUUCAGGUUUCUGCAGGAUUCAAGCAAAAUGAGCAGCAUCAGCUUCUGGGAUCUCAUUCUGACUGACUGCUACACCUCUCUUGUGAGUGUUCCUCUCUCCCCCAUAGCCAGCUACAUCAGAAGAAGCCAAAAAAUUCUUAUUUAUCCAAUAUGGGUGGUGGUCAGCUAUAGCUUCAGAGCCAUUAAACCUCACACAGAUGUAUCCCACCCCCCUUACUCUCAAUCAUGACUCAGUCUGUCUCUGAUACAGGUGAUCUUCUGUGAAUCAACUUCUCCCUCAGGAACAAGGCAGAUUAAAUCAUGAUGAUUUUGAUAAUUAUUAGGGGAAGGAAGUUCAUCUGUGCAACAACCUGAAGUCUCUGUGUGGCUUGAGGGGCAGGAGCAGAGUUGGAGAUAAACAUGGUUGCGAGGAAUCAAAGUCGGUGCCCCAAAGUUUGACAUGGGUCACGUGGUGUGUGAGUUUGGCACGAACUUUGCUGCUGACAAGGACAUUAGAAAAGUCCUGCUGCUGGUUCUGUUCAAAGCUUAAUCUAAUCCAGUAUCCUGUUGCACCCAGUGGCCAACCCACGUUGAUGGCAACAGCUCUUUCGUGGAGUUGACCUCAGCAACUGGCAUACAGAAAUAUGCAGCCUCUGAUCCUGGCAGUCACGUGAUCGCCUUUUAAAAGUGUCUCAGUUAGCAGCUGAAACAAAAUAAAAAAAUUCCUUCCAGUAGGGCUGGACCCUCCAAAGUUGAUGGGUAUUCCCAUCAAAAUGGUUUGUGCGCACUGCAUCAUGUGAUAAUUUAUAUGGGGCAUGGCUUACUUGGGUCCCCACAAUAUUUUAUUCAAGUUGGCACCCCUGACAUCAAGGGUGCUUGCUUGUGGGACUGGAGACCCUGCUCUCCAGGGAGGUUCAGCUGGUACCUUCAUUGUACACCUUCAGGUGCCAAGUGAAAACGUUCCUUUUUAACCAGGCCUUUGGCUCAUUGACAUCCAAUGCCCUUUGAAAUGUCUUCUGGGUGGAGGGAUUAUUGGUUAGUUUAUGUUCUUUUUUAUUAUGUAUUUUAUCUUUUUUUAUAUUGUAUUUUUAUGUUGUGAACCACCCUGACAUCUAUGGCCGAUGGGCGCUAUAGAAAUUUAAUAAAUAAGAUAACAAGAAUAAAAUCAAACUCAGGUGUCUGGGUUAGCUCGUUUCUGACUACCUAAUAUCCAGUCAUGUCCUUCCAUGUACUAAGUUUUCUCCUAGACUUGUACUUUUUUUUUUUUUUAAAUGAUAUUUAUUCCAAGUUUAAAGUUACAAAAUAGAGAAAGAAAAACCAUACAAAAUACAAAGAAAACUUUAACCAUAACAAAGCGAAAAAUAAAAAGAUAAAAGUGAACAAUAAAAUAGAAUAAAAAAGAAGACUUAACAAAAAAUAUAAAAAUGCAUUAAGUUAAAAUAAAACAAAAACAGAUUAAACCUUUACAUAGCCUUUUCCCUUUACUUAUUUCCAUGACCUCCUCUCACCUCCCAAUUUUGUAUUCUAGUUCAGAUCGUAUUUCCAGCAAAUCCUUCUAACCUUAUUUUCAUUUACGUAUUUUAAAUUAAAAUAAUGUAAUUAAACCUCCUCUGUUUCAUCAAUUUCAUCAACUCAUUUUUGCUUAAUCCUUUAUAUCAUAUCUACCAAAACGACCUAAUUUUCUUUUUCCAACCUCUUUCUAACAGUCUUUUAUAUUGCAGUAUUUUUGAAGGUAUAUUUUGAAUUUUUCCAAUCUUCUUCCAUCGACCCUUCUCCCUGGUCUCGAAUUCUGCCGGUCAUCUCAGCCAGUUCCAUGUAGUCCAUCACUUUCAUCUGCCAUUCUUCUCGGGUGGGCAAUUCUUGUGUCUUCCAGUACUUUCCGAUGAGUAUUCUUGCUGCUGUUGUAGCAUACAUAAAAAAAGUUCUAUCCUCCCUUCGCACCAAUUGGCCGACCAUGCCCAGAAGAAAGGCCUCUGGUUUCUUCAGAAAGGUAUAUUUAAAUACCUUUUUCAAUUCAUUAUAUAUCAUUUCCCACAAAGCCUUAAUCCUUGGGCAUGUCCACCAAAGGUGAAAGAAUGUGCCCUCAACCUCUUUACAUUUCCAACAUUUACUAUCUGGCAAAUGAUAGAUUUUUGCUAGCUUGACUGGGGUUAAGUACCACCUGUAAAUCAUUUUCAUUAUAUUUUCUCUUAAGGCAUUACAAGCCGUAAAUUUCAUACCUGUGGUCCAUAACUGUUCCCAGUCAGCAAACAUAAUGUUAUGUCCAAAGUCUUGUGCCCAUUUAAUCAUAACAGAUUUAACCGUUUCAUCCUGUGUAUUCCAUUUCAACAGCAAGUUAUACAUUCUUGAUAAGUUCUUAGUUUUAGGAUCUAACAAUUCUGUUUCCAAUUUUGAUUUUUCCUCCUGGAAGCCAAUCUUCUUAUCUAAAUUAUAAGCCUCCCUUAUUUGAUAAUAAUGAAGCCAGUCUCGAACUUUAGUUUUUAAUUUGUCAAAGCUCUGCAGCUUUAAUCUAUCUCCAUCUUGUUCUAAAAUUUCACAAUAUUUUGGCCAAUUUGUCUCCAUAUUGAUUUUUUUCAGAGCCUUAGCCUCCAUUGGUGACAGCCACCUUGGUGUUUUACUUUCUAGCAAAUCCUUAUAUCUCACCCAGACAUUAAACAAUGCUUUCCUGACAAUAUGGUUCUUAAAGGCCUUAUGUGCUUUAACCUUGUCAUACCAUAGAUAUGCAUGCCAUCCAAAGACAUUGUUAAAACCUUCUAAAUCCAAAAUGUCCGUGUUUUCAAGAAGCAGCCAAUCUUUCAGCCAGCAAAAUGCGGCUGAUUCAUAAUAAAGUUUAAGAUCUGGCAGGGCAAAUCCACCUCUUUCUUUAGCAUCAGUUAAAAUCUUAAAUUUUAUUCUGGGCUUCUUGCCCUGCCAGACAAAUCUCGAAAUAUCUCUCUGCCAUUUCUUGAAACAGUCCAUCUUGUCCAAAAUCUGCAAUGUUUGAAACAAAAACAACAUCCUAGGUAAUACAUUCAUCUUUAUCACAGCAAUUCGGCCCAACAAUGAUAACUUCAAUUUUGACCAUAUUUCCAAAUCCUUUUUCACUUCCAUCCAGCAUUUUUCAUAAUUAUCUUUAAAUAAAUUCACAUUUUUAGCAGUCAUAUGAACCCCGAGAUAUUUCACUUUCUUAACCAAUAUUAAUCCUGUCUCCUUCUGAAACCUCUCUUUCUCAAUCUCUGUAAGAUUUUUCUCUAACACCUUGGUUUUCACCUUAUUCAACUUAAAUCCUGCUACUUGACCAAAUUCUUGAAUUAAUUGCAAUACUCUUUUGGUACUGGAUUCUGGCUCCUGUAAUGUCAAAACCAAAUCAUCAGCAAAGGCUUUCAAUUUAUACUGUUUAGCUCCGAGUUGUAUACCUUUAACCAAUUGGUCUUUCCUGAUCAUGUUAAGCAGAACCUCCAGGACCGAUAUAAAAAGCAAUGGGGAGAUUGGGCAACCCUGUCUUGUUCCUUUCUCAAUCUUAAACUCUUCUGUAACCACGUUGUUUACAAUCCAACUUAGGUUUUUGUUCUGAGUAAAUUGCACCUAUACCGUUUUCAAAACCUUGGCCUACCCCAUUCCCUGUAAAUUUUUCUUCAUAAAACUCCAAGAAAUAUUAUCAAAGGCUUUCUCCGCAUCCACAAAUAUUAAAACUGCUUUAGUGUUAAUAUUAACUUGUAAUUUUUCUAAAAUGUUAAUUAUAUUCCUCGUAUUAUCUGACAAAUGCCUCCCGGGAGAAAGCCCGCUUGGUCCUUAUGAAUUUCUUCCACCAAUACCUUUUUUAAUCUCUUAGCCAUAAUUUCCACAAAAAUUUUGUAAUCCACAUUAAGUAGAGAUAUGGGACGGUAGUUCUUAAGCUGUGUCUUUUCCGCUUCUGUUUUCGGUAUAAGUGUAAUAUAAGCUUCUUUCCACGACUCGGGUGCCUUUCCCCCCCCCCCUAAUAUUUCAUUGCAAACUUCUUUCAAAGGCUGCAUUAACCAUUCUUUCAAAGAUUUAUAGUACUUUGCAGUCAAACCAUCUGGCCCUGGAGAUUUGCCCAGUUUCAUAUCCUGAAUGGCUCCUUCCACCUCUUGGUCAGUUAUUAUACAGUUUAGCAUUGAUUUACUCUCUUGAGAUUUUUUGUAAUCCAUUUGUUCUCAAAAACCGAUCAAUGUCUAUUUCUUUCUGAGUCUCCUGCGUGUAUAACUGUUUAAAGUAUUUCUGAAAACACUUUCUAAUCUCCGCAGGGUUCUUUCCCUCUACUACCAAGUUCGUAAUAGUAUUAAGUUUUUGUCUUUUUUUCAUUUGCCAUGCCAGCAGUUUCCCACACUUAUUCGCUGAUUCAAAUGUCUUUUGUCUCAUCUGUUUAAUCUUCCAUUCUAUUUCCUGAUUUGUCAGUUUCAUAUAUUGUACUUGAUAUAACUUUAUCUCUUUUAAGAUCUCCUGUGAAUUCGGUUUCAUCCUCAGUCUCUUUUCUCCAUCCUUUAUUUUUUCCUAGACUUGUACUUUUGAUCCUCAUCAAAACUCAUGUACCAAAAAUAUUUCUCUUCCAAAAACUAUGUAUAACAACCUUGUAGAUUUCCAUAUGACCUCUUAUCUAUGUCCUUCAUGUAGCUAGUUUAAUGUCCCUUUUCUUCUACUUUUGCCAAGUUCAUUUUGCACUAUAACAAUUCAGUUGACAACGUCUUAAGCAGCUUAGGAAAUUCAGCUAUGGGUAAUAUGCUGUCUAACUCAAGACAAAAGAGCCUGGUACAGGAAUGAUUUCAAGCAACAAUGGGCAACUCCACAAUUGCUAUUAGUGAAGAAUCGGGAAUCAGAAUCUUUAAGAGGUCUACUGUCAAUUAUCUAUCUCCUCCGCAUCACAAGUGAGCUAACUUUAACAACGAUGCUUUUGGGCAUUGGGGGGAAGUAACUAUGUGCUGCAUGAAUAAAUGUUUUGUUUGCUCUCAAUCUCCCAACCUUCAGAUUCAUUGGAUGUCUAUGAGUGCUGGUGCUAUAUAAGAGAGGGAGACAAAAAGGAUGCAUCCCGCCCUUCUCCAGAAGAUCAGUGCAAAUAAGUGAGACGUCUGGUCCAUGGGGGUGAGUGGGGACUACCCCACCAAUCUCAACCUGCCUUCAUGCCACCACCACUCACCUGCCUUCUUACUUACAAGUGGUGGUUCUUCUCCAUCAUUGUCUCUGGCUCCAGCUAUCAUGGUGCCCCACUCACUCCCACCAAACAGACAGCUGCCACAAUCAUUUGUUGAUUCCGACCUUGAAAACCCUAAAUGACAUUGGCCCUGUAUAUCUAAAGGAGCGUCUCCACACCCAUCGUCCAGACCAGAUACUGAGGUCCAGCUCCAAGGGCCUUCUGGAGGUUCCCUCAAGCAUUAAUACACUCAAGUGAGAUUCCGUUUUUCAGUUGCUGAUUUUAAUACUAGAAGCAGAAUUUCAAGUUACACUAAGUUAUUUUUAGGCUUCGGUUAUGAAUUCAGGAAGAAAGGAAGGUGGGUCAUGUCAAAGUACAAACGAUGGAUAUGGUAGAGAACGAUAAUUAUGUUUGAAGAGGAGGCUGCACUCCAGGAGACUCUACAGGUAGGGUUAUCCCUAAAAGUUGUAAGUCCAGACACUCUCAAGGCAUGUGAUACAAUGAUUACCUUUCAUCAUUCAAGAGAAUGAAAAAUGAGGAGCAAACUUUAUCUAAAGAGAUGCAUUCAUUCCCAAGGCAACUCUGUGUGUUUCAUCACUACUGUGGUGGGAAACGGUUAUAAAUAUGUUAAGAAUCAGGCAACAACUUUAGUUUUUGUGGCCAGGUGUUCCUUUGUGUUCAGAUCAGGCCUCAGCACAAGAAUGUAGCAUUUGGGAAUGAAGAUGCAGCCCAGAAGUCCAGCACUAGAAGCCAAGAUAGAGAAGAUCUGCACGGCUACCAUGUAUUUCCCCUUUGUGCUCAGGUAGGUGGGCACAAAGGAGACCCAAACGCUGCAGAAGACCAGCAUGCUGAAAGUGAUCAGCUUGGCUUCAUUGAAGGCCCCAGGCAGCUUCCUGGCCAGGAAAGCCACCGUGAAGCAGAUGGCAGCCAGGAAGCCCAUAUAACCGAGGGCAGCAUAAAACAUGGCAACAGACCCUUCAUUGCAUUGCAGGGUGAUCUCUCCAGCCUGGGAAUGCUUGUCAGAGUCUGGGAAUGGGGGAGAGAUACACAGCCAAAUGAUGCAAAUAACCAUUUGGACACUGGAACAGGAAAGGACAAUGGAGUUGGCCAGACUUUUCCCUAACCAUCUCCUCACCCUGUUCCCUGGCUUUGUGGCCAGGAAGGCCAGCACCACCAUGAUGGUUUUGGACAGCAAAGAGGAUACAGCAACUGAGAAGAUGGUGCUGAAGGCCGUUUGUCGAAGGAGGCAGGUGACUUUCCUGGGACGGCCAAUGAAGAGGAAGGAGGACAAGAAGGACAGCAGGAGGGAGACAAGGAGGAUGAAGGAGAGGUCCCUGUUGUUGGCUUUGACUAUGGGAGUUUCCUUGUAUUUAAUGAAGAUCCCUACAACAAAGCCUGUGGUUAAGGACAGGAAGAGAGCCAAAGAAGUCAGGAGAAUCCCCAAAUAUUGUUUAUAUGAUAAGAAGGAGAUAAUCCUCGGAAUGCAGUGAUCUCGGUCCUUGUUUGGAUAUUGUUCUUCUGGACAUUUGGUGCAACGCUCUGCAUCUGGGGAGGAGAAAAGGAAUGG